Zootoca vivipara (common lizard) is the source of this 1854-nucleotide non-coding RNA. The record is from RefSeq and is a predicted model, not a curated record. NCBI's taxonomy places the organism in Eukaryota, Metazoa, Chordata, Lepidosauria, Squamata, Lacertidae.
AGCUGGAGCUGCGCGUUGCUCUCGCUCGGAAGAGCUCCGCAGUUCCCAAAUCUUACUCUUCACUUGGUUCCUUGUCUUAUUUUUUAAUACUCGAUUGGGGGGCGGGCGGGACUUUUCUCUCCUAUCCUUCACUGAGAGGUUUGGUGGGGAUUUACCCCCCAUUAAACAGCCAAAGAGAGGCGUUCGCAGUUUUGCAAAUUGAGUACAUUUCUUUCUCCAUGCAGAAACCUUUCAGGGUUCUCCAGCAAGAGGAAAGCCAACGAAAAGAUUUCCCUGCUUUGUAGCAAAGUGCAAUGAAGUACCGAGCCAAUUCCAACAUUCAGCUUCAUUGGAUGGCUGUGGGUUCUAAUAUUACAAAGAGUGUGAGAGAGCCUGCUCCGUGUCCACUUUCUUCAUCCUCUGAAUGGUCUUCUUCCUGGUCUUCUUACCCCAGAUGUUUACUUGGAAGUAGGGUCCUCUUUCUUCACUGAGACAUAUGCCACUUAAUGUGAAGAUAUAACAGGCUUUCUCUGGUGGUUUAAUUAUAGACUGGCAGCCCCUCUUCAUGGCUUUACUUCGUUGGGGAGCGGACUAGUCUGUUAACAGGAAGAACCUCUGAUACGAAUUUGAGUCAGCACACUUCCAAGAACUGCUUUCAAGGUACAGGAAGCAGGAAAGGAAAAUGAGGGUAAAGGAAGCGGUAGUCUUUCAUGCAAGCAGCUCCAGAUCCUUUCCUGGUUUGAAGCAACAUACACUUUUUUUAUAAAAAGAAGAAGAAGUUGUUUGCUCUUCUUUGCAAAUCUAGUACCUAUAUCUUCAGAGCAAGAAUUACAUUUUAAAAGGUAUGGACAAACUACUUGGAGCAACACACACAUUUUAAACUUGCUUUUACUGCUGUUUAGUGCAAAUCUGGCAUAUUAUGCAUUAGGUUGUUUUUUAGUCUUGGGUCUAUCUGUUUUUAAUGCUUGUCGGUCAUUUUGAGUUCAUUUUUUUAAAGUGACACAAUAAUAGUAUAAAUGUGGGCCCACUAGUUCAUUUAUUACUGUUUCAGAAGCAAUCUGUGCCUUUUGUCUCCAGCACCUGCAGUUGGAAGUUUUAAAGGCACUGAAAAUAAGUUUUAAUAAAGUAUUUUAUUGUUUAGUUCUUUAUACCAUGAGACGUUAAGAAAAAAGUUUGAUGGUUCUUGGAAAUGCAGAGAAAUUAUUCUGAAAUGUGUGUUACAAUUCCAAAGGAUAGUGGAAACUUCAAAUUCUGCCAAAAGCUGGGAGUGGGGCAGUUACGAGCUAUUUUGGUACAAUUCAUAACUAUGAUUAGUCAUGCCAGAACACUGAAGGCAACCAUGUUGAAAUAACCAUUCUUUGCUGCCAUUUGCUGCAAGAGACUAACAUGGCUCCUUUCACCAGCCUGGUACCCUUCAGAUAUUUUUGACUUAAACUCCAAUUGUCCCCAGUCAUCUGAAGGGCACCAGGUUUGCAAAGCAAGUGUGGACUUCUGAGGUAGGGAAAUAAACUACAUACAGUGGUACCUUGGUUUACAAACACAAUUGGUUCCGGGAGUCUGUACUUAACCUGAAGCGAACUUUCCCAUUGAAAGUAAUGGAAAGUGGAUUAAUCCGUUCCAGACAGGUUCGCGGAGUACUUAAACUGAAAAUACUCAAACCGAGACGUACUUAAACCGAGGUAUGACUGUACUAGUGACUACAUACUAGUGCUCCCCAACUUUCUACUUGUUUGAUUUUUACAGUGGUAUUUAGAUACAGCCGCUUCUGUCUUCCAUAUGCCAUUGCUUACCUUAAAUUCACCCCUUUUGCCCAAGGCCCCCAAACUUACCCUCUCAUUGUGUGUGUGUGUGUGCGUGUGUGUUGCAGGACUGAAU